GUGGGGAAUCUUCCGCAAUGGACGAAAGUCUGACGGAGCGACGCCGCGUGAGUGAUGAAGGCCUUCGGGUCGUAAAGCUCUGUCAUCGGGGACGAACGGCCUCAGCAGGUAAUGGCUGGGGAUUGACGGUACCCGAGAAGGAAGCCACGGCUAACUACGUGCCAGCAGCCGCGGUAAUACGUAGGUGGCAAGCGUUGUCCGGAAUUAUUGGGCGUAAAGCGCGCGCAGGUGGGAUCUUAAGUCCAUUUUGAAAGUUCGGAGCUCAACUCCGUGAUGGGAUGGAAACUGGGAUUCUUGAGUACCGGAGAGGAAAGCGGAAUUCCCCGUGUAGCGGUGAAAUGCGUAGAUAUGGGGAGGAACACCAGUGGCGAAGGCGGCUUUCUGGACGGUGUCUGACACUGAGGCGCGAAAGCCAGGGGAGCGAACGGGAUUAGAUACCCCAGUAGUCC
RNAcentral lists this ribosomal RNA (449 nucleotides) under uncultured bacterium. RNAcentral's name for it is "partial 16S ribosomal RNA". It matches the Rfam family "Bacterial small subunit ribosomal RNA", at positions 354 to 796 of the family's 1533-position model. The record is from RNAcentral.